RNAcentral lists this ribosomal RNA (419 nucleotides) under bacterium. RNAcentral's name for it is "partial 16S ribosomal RNA". It matches the Rfam family "Bacterial small subunit ribosomal RNA", at positions 355 to 776 of the family's 1533-position model. The record is from RNAcentral.
UGGGGGAUAUUGCACAAUGGGCGCAAGCCUGAUGCAGCGACGCCGCGUGGGGGAUGAAGGCCUUCGGGUUGUAAACUUCUUUUGCUCUGAACAAGGCGCACUUUGGGGUGUGUUGAGCGUAGGGGUUGAUUAGCGCCGGCUAACUACGUGCCAGCAGCCGCGGUAAUACGUAGGGCGCGAGCGUUGUCCGGAAUUAUUGGGCGUAAAGGGCUUGUAGGUGGCUGGUUGCGUCUGUCGUGAAAGCUCAUGGCUUAACUGUGGGUUUGCGGUGGGUACGGGCUGGCUUGAGUGCAGUAGGGGAGGCUCGAAUUCCUGGUGUAGCGGUGGAAUGCGCAGAUAUCAGGAGGAAUACCGGUGGCGAAGGCGGGUCUCUGGGCUGUUACUGACACUGAGGAGCGAAAGCAUGGGGAGCGAACAGG